This 497-nucleotide ribosomal RNA is filed under the name uncultured bacterium. Its description in RNAcentral is "partial 16S ribosomal RNA". It matches the Rfam family "Bacterial small subunit ribosomal RNA", at positions 28 to 507 of the family's 1533-position model. The record is from RNAcentral.
GAUGAACGCUGGCGGCGUGCCUAAUACAUGCAAGUCGAGCGAACAGAUAAGGAGCUUGCUCCUUUGACGUUAGCGGCGGACGGGUGAGUAACACGUGGGUAACCUACCUAUAAGACUGGGAUAACUUCGGGAAACCGGAGCUAAUACCGGAUAACAUUUGGAACCGCAUGGUUCUAAAGUGAAAGAUGGUUUUGCUAUCACUUAUAGAUGGACCCGCGCCGUAUUAGCUAGUUGGUAAGGUAACGGCUUACCAAGGCGACGAUACAUAGCCGACCUGAGAGGGUGAUCGGCCACACUGGAACUGGGACACGGUCCAGACUCCUACGGGAGGCAGCAGUAGGGAAUCUUCCGCAAUGGGCGAAAGCCUGACGGAGCAACGCCGCGUGAGUGAUGAAGGGUUUCGGCUCGUAAAACUCUGUUAUUAGGGAAGAACAAAUGUGUAAGUAACUGUGCACGUCCUGACGGUACCUAAUCAGAAAGCCACGGCUAACUACGUG